RNAcentral lists this ribosomal RNA (490 nucleotides) under uncultured bacterium. RNAcentral's name for it is "partial 16S ribosomal RNA". It matches the Rfam family "Bacterial small subunit ribosomal RNA", at positions 30 to 507 of the family's 1533-position model. The record is from RNAcentral.
AUUGAACGCUGGCGGCAGGCCUAACACAUGCAAGUCGAACGGUAACAGGAAGACGCUUGCUUCUUUGCUGACGAGUGGCGGACGGGUGAGUAAUGUCUGGGAAACUGCCUGAUGGAGGGGGAUAACUACUGGAAACGGUAGCUAAUACCGCAUAACGUCGCAAGACCAAAGAGGGGGACCUUCGGGCCUCUUGCCAUCGGAUGUGCCCAGAUGGGAUUAGCUAGUAGGUGGGGUAACGGCUCACCUAGGCGCCGAUCCCUAGCUGGUCUGAGAGGAUGACCAGCCACACUGGAACUGAGACACGGUCCAGGCUCCUACGGGAGGCAGCAGUGGGGAAUAUUGCACAAUGGGCGCAAGCCUGAUGCAGCCAUGCCGCGUGUAUGAAGAAGGCCUUCGGGUUGUAAAGUACUUUCAGCGGGGAGGAAGGGAGUAAAGUUAAUACCUUUACUCAUUGACGUUACCCGCAGAAGAAGCACCGGCUAACUCCGUG